RNAcentral lists this ribosomal RNA (892 nucleotides) under Ascolacicola mitriformis. Its description in RNAcentral is "LSU rRNA". It matches the Rfam family "Eukaryotic large subunit ribosomal RNA", at positions 65 to 972 of the family's 3401-position model. Lineage: Eukaryota; Fungi; Ascomycota; Sordariomycetes; Sordariales. The record is from RNAcentral.
CCAACAGGGUUGCCUCAGUAACGGCGAGUGAAGCGGCAACAGCCCAGAUUUGAAAUCUGACCUCUUUGGGGUCCGAGUUGUAAUCUGCAGAUGGGUUUUCCGGUGAGGCGUGCGUCCAAGUUCCCUGGAAUGGGAUGCCGGAGAGGGUGAGAGCCCCGUAAAGGCGCGCGCCGAGCCUCUGUGAGGCCCAUUCGACGAGUCGAGUAGUUUGGAAAUGCUGCUCUAAUCGUGGGGUAAAUCUCCCAUAAGGCUAAAUAUCGGCCGGAGACCGAUAGCGCACAAGUAGCGUGAGCGAAAGAUGAAAAGAGCCUUGGAUAAGGCCGUCAAAAAGCAUGUGAAAUUGUUGUGGGGGAAGCGCUCGUCGCCAGACGUGGCGGCGGCUGAUUUACCGGCGUCCUCGCCGGUGUCCUCUGCCCGCCGCCAGGCCAGCACCGGCUCGGACCGGGGCCCAAAACGCACGGGAACGUGGCUCCCCUCGGGGAGUGUUAUAGCCCGCGCCUACGCCCUGUUCCGGGCCGAGGAACGCGCAUCUGCUCGGAUGCUUGGCCUAAUGGCGCCUAAGCGACCCGUCCUUGAAACACGGACCAAGGAGGUUGACCUUGACCGCGCCGAUUGUUCGGGUGUCAAGCCCCUACGCGUAGUGAAAGCGAACGCUGGUGGGAGCCCUCACGGGUGCACCAUCGACCGAUCCUGAAGUUUACGGAUGGAUUUGAGUAGGAGCGCGUCGGGUCUGACCCGAAAGAAGGUGAACUAUGCAUGAAUAGGGUGAAGCCAGAGGAAACUCUGGUGGAGGCUCGCAGCGGUUCUGACGUGCAAAUCGAUCGUCAAAUUUGUGCAUGGGGGCGAAAGACCAAUCGAACCUUCUAGUAGCUGGUUCCUGCCGAAGUUUCCU